CCCGCCCAACGCUGCUUGCAGCUUUAAUUUUUUAUUUACUUCCCUUACACAUUACUGUUGGCUGCAAAAACAUCUGACAUAACCUGUUUUUAAUAUUCCAGUCAUUUACAAGGCAGCGUGUAUUUCAUGAAGUCGUGGGCCAAGACACACCUGAUUCUGAUCUACAAUCACACGCCGUGCAUCCACCUAUCUUCAGCCAUGUUAUAGGAGAGGCCAAAAACCCAAUCCCCUCUGGAUUAUUGAGUGAUCUCGUGAACUUGUUGUUGAAAACUCUGAUUUUUUGAUUACCUGCCUGUUUGCCUGCUUUGCUCUCUCCAACAGACUUUUCUUUUUGCCGCUGCCUUUUAAUAAAUCAAAUGUAUGUAAUGCUUUGCAUUAAUAGUUUACACUGCACUUUCACUUUUAUUCUUUUUAUCUUGUUUGUGUUUUCUGUUUAACUCUUUAAAAUUGUAUUAAGUGUUUUUUAUAUUACCCGAUGUUGCUUUUGUGUUUUUUGUAAAGGAUUUUCAAUUGCAUGGUUGAAAUGUGUUAUACAAAGAACCUUGACUUACCUUUCUCUAAUACUUUUGAAAAAAAGAUGCUUUGCUGCUAAUUGUGUUAUAGGACUGAAAGAAGAACGAAGUCAAGUCAUGUCAUGAAAAAUUUCUUUGUGCCCUUCCUUCUUUGCACCUGCAGGUUUACAGUAAGCAGAUCACCUUUAUCUUUAAUCUCAGCAGUAAUGUGCCUAGAUACCAACAAUAACUCCCUUAUUCAUAAAGCAACCUGUAUUUGGCUCAUAAAUUAUGAAAUUAUGUGAGUCGGAGCAGUCCAGGCGCCAUAAAAAAAAAAAAAAGUUUCCAUGUUCACAAAUACAAACGUUUGAGGGGGUUUGGUCCGUCUGGGAAAUCAAAAAUAAAUUUAAACCUGUAUUCCCUU
Long non-coding RNA from Micropterus salmoides (largemouth bass), 915 nucleotides. RefSeq lists it as uncharacterized. NCBI's taxonomy places the organism in Eukaryota, Metazoa, Chordata, Actinopteri, Centrarchiformes, Centrarchidae. The record is from RefSeq and is a predicted model, not a curated record. The transcript has 2 exons.